CCUACGGGUGGCUGCAGUGGGGAAUCUUGCGCAAUGGGGGAAACCCUGACGCAGCGACGCCGCGUGAGUGAAGAAGGCCUUCGGGUUGUAAAGCUCUGUGGGGGGAGACGAAUAAGGCUGGGCUAAUACCCCAGUUGAUGACGGUAUCUCCUUAGCAAGCACCGGCUAACUCUGUGCCAGCAGCCGCGGUAAGACAGAGGGUGCAAACGUUGUUCGGAAUGACUGGGCGUAAAGCGCAUGUAGGCGGUCUGAUAGGUCGGAUGUGAAAGCCCCGG
This 275-nucleotide ribosomal RNA is filed under the name uncultured bacterium. RNAcentral describes it as "partial 16S ribosomal RNA". It matches the Rfam family "Bacterial small subunit ribosomal RNA", at positions 338 to 606 of the family's 1533-position model. The record is from RNAcentral.